This 711-nucleotide long non-coding RNA is filed under the name Athene cunicularia (burrowing owl). RNAcentral's name for it is "lncRNA (ENSACUG00000005152.1)". The record is from RNAcentral. Lineage: Eukaryota; Metazoa; Chordata; Aves; Strigiformes; Strigidae.
GGCCAUGGGGUCCCCCUCUGCAGGUGGAUGGGGGUGUCAGCCCAGGGUAGGCUGGUGCUGAUGCCUCUGCUCUGUGUGCCCCCCGCCCCCCCAGCCUGCAGCAAGGGAAGAGCAGCAGCACCGGGAACUUGCUGGACAAGGACGACAUCGCCAUCCCGCCACCCGACUACGGCAUGGCCUCCCAGGCCUUCCCGCCGCAAGGCGUCAACACCUUCAAGCAGAGGCCGUACAGCGUGGCCGUGCCCGCCUUCUCCCAGGGUCUCGACGACUACGGGACGAGGUCCGUCAGCAGCGGCAGCGGGAGUUUGGUAUCAACGGUGUGAGGACACCUUGGCUAGCGGCGGCCCCUUGCUGCUUGGAAGAGCUUUCUGCUUCUUUCCCCCCACCCUCCUUUUUUUUUUUUUUUUUUUUUUUUUUUUUUUUUCUUUCCCCCUCGUUUCUCUUUCUCUACUUUUGGAUUUUAAACUCUUGUGAUCUUCAAGGAAACCAUGGUGCUUCUCCACCCCUCCCUGGUGUUCACAGUGCCCUUGUUUCUGAAGUCUUUUCAGAGCAGAAACUGCCGAUCGGUCUGUGCUCGCUUUGAAGCAGCCUGGAUGCAGUUUACACUUUAGUGGGACCCAGUUUUUGUACUCCUGUGUGAAUGUUAGCGAUGCACUAUCCCUCCUCGGGGGCUGCACGCCAGCCGCCUCGCACGAGCCUGGACAAAACCUC